UACGUAGGCAGCGAGCGUUGUUCGGAGUUACUGGGCGUAAAGGGUGUGUAGGCGUUUGUUUAAGUUUGGUGUGAAAUCUCCCGGCUCAACCGGGAGGGUGCGCCGAAUACUGAAUGACUCGAGUGCGGGAGAGGAGAGUGGAAUUCCUGGUGUAGCGGUGAAAUGCGUAGAUAUCAGGAGGAACACCGGUGGUGUAGACGGCUCUCUGGACCGUAACUGACGCUGAGACACGAAAGCGUGGGUAGCAAACAGG
Molecule: ribosomal RNA, 253 nt
Filed under: uncultured bacterium
Lineage: Bacteria
Description: partial 16S ribosomal RNA
Rfam family: Bacterial small subunit ribosomal RNA
Source: RNAcentral